UACGUAGGGGGCAAGCGUUGUCCGGAAUUAUUGGGCGUAAAGAGCGUGUAGGCGGCCCGACAAGUCCGCCGUGAAAGUCCGAGGCUCAACCUCGGAAUGCCGGUGGAAACUGUCGGGCUUGAGUCCGGAAGAGGCGAGUGGAAUUCCUGGUGUAGCGGUGAAAUGCGCAGAUAUCAGGAGGAACACCAAUGGCGAAGGCAGCUCGCUGGGACGGCACUGACGCUGAGACGCGAAAGCGUGGGGAGCAAACAGG
This 253-nucleotide non-coding RNA is filed under the name uncultured bacterium. RNAcentral's name for it is "partial 16S ribosomal RNA". It matches the Rfam family "Bacterial small subunit ribosomal RNA", at positions 524 to 776 of the family's 1533-position model. The record is from RNAcentral. RNAcentral also lists the same sequence under 1 other name.